UAAAUCAUAUAUAUGAAAGUUGCCCAACUUUUUCCAUAUGAGUGACACAUCAUCACACAAUAAAAUGACAUGUGUCAUUCUACAUUAAUUAAUUAAAAAAU
This 101-nucleotide small RNA is filed under the name Arabidopsis thaliana (thale cress). RNAcentral's name for it is "ATSL103080". The record is from RNAcentral. Lineage: Eukaryota; Viridiplantae; Streptophyta; Magnoliopsida; Brassicales; Brassicaceae.